This 407-nucleotide ribosomal RNA is filed under the name uncultured bacterium. RNAcentral's name for it is "partial 16S ribosomal RNA". It matches the Rfam family "Bacterial small subunit ribosomal RNA", at positions 30 to 526 of the family's 1533-position model. The record is from RNAcentral.
AUUGAACGCUGGCGGCAGGCCUAACACAUGCAAGUCGAGCGGAGCUGCGGACGGGUGAGUAAUGCCUAGUAAUCUGCCUGGUGGUGGGGUAUAACGUCGGGAAACGGGCGCUAAUACCACAUAAUAUCAGAUCACCUUCGGUCGUAUUAGCUAGUUGGUGGGGUAAAGGCCUAACAAGGCGACGAUCCGUAACUGGUCUGAGAGGAUGAUCAGUCACAUUUGGACUGGGACAAGGCCCAGACUUCUACGGGAGGCAGCAGUGGGGAAUCCUCCGCAAUGGACGCAAGUCUUACGCGGCAAAGCCGGGUGAGGGAUGACGGCCUUCGGGUUGUAAAGCUGUGUUAAUCGGGAAGCGGUACCGAAAUAGAAAGCCACGGCUAACUACGUGCCAGCAGCCGCGGUAAUAC